This 511-nucleotide ribosomal RNA is filed under the name uncultured bacterium. RNAcentral describes it as "bacterial SSU rRNA". It matches the Rfam family "Bacterial small subunit ribosomal RNA", at positions 28 to 565 of the family's 1533-position model. The record is from RNAcentral.
GACGAACGCUGGCGGCGUGCCUAAAACAUGCAAGUCGAACGGAGUAGCAAUACUCAGUGGCGAACGGCGGAGUAAUACAUAAGCAACGUGCCCUGAAGACUGGGAUAGCGGACCGAAAGGUCCAGUAAUACCGGAUGUGGCCCUCAUGAGACAUCUCGAGAGGAUUAAAUGGUUUUUCGCUUCAGGAGCGGCUUAUGACCUAUCGGCUUGUUGGCGAGGUAACGGCUCACCAAGGCGACGACGGGUAGGGGGUCUGAGAGGAUGAUCCCCCCGAGUGGGACUGAGACACGGCCCACACACCUACGGGUGGCAGCAGUUGGGAAUCUUGCACAAUGGGGGAAACCCUGAUGCAGCGACGCCGCGUGGAGGAUGACGGAUCUAGGUCUGUAAACUCCUUUUUUCAUGGAAAGACUUAGGACGGUACCAUGAGAAUAAGGACCGGCUAACUACGUGCCAGCAGCCGCGGUAAGACGUAGGGUCCAAGCGUUGUCCGGAUUUACUGGGCGUAAAG